CUAAUACAUGCAAGUCGAGCGAGAAGGUGUAGCAAUACACUUGUAAAGCGGCGAACGGGUGAGGAAUACAUGGGUAACCUACCAUCGAGUGGGGAAUAACCAGCCGAAAGGUUGGCUAAUACCGCGUACGCCUCCGGAUUUUCGGAUUCGGAGGGAAAGCCACGCUGUGAGUGUGGCGCUCUUUGAUGGGCUCAUGUCCUAUCAGCUUGUUGGUAGGGUAACGGCCUACCAAGGCUUUGACGGGUAGCUGGUCUGAGAGGACGAUCAGCCACACUGGCACUGCGACACGGGCCAGACUCCUACGGGAGGCAGCAGUAAGGAAUAUUGCGCAAUGGACGACAGUCUGACGCAGCGACGCCGCGUGGGGGAUGAAGGUCUUCGGAUUGUAAACCCCUUUCGGGAGGGAAGAUGGAACGAGCAAUCGUUCGGACGGGCCUCCAGA
This 442-nucleotide ribosomal RNA is filed under the name uncultured bacterium. RNAcentral's name for it is "bacterial SSU rRNA". It matches the Rfam family "Bacterial small subunit ribosomal RNA", at positions 48 to 485 of the family's 1533-position model. The record is from RNAcentral.